This 2223-nucleotide ribosomal RNA is filed under the name Munnopsis typica. Its description in RNAcentral is "SSU rRNA". It matches the Rfam family "Eukaryotic small subunit ribosomal RNA". The record is from RNAcentral. Lineage: Eukaryota; Metazoa; Arthropoda; Malacostraca; Isopoda; Munnopsidae.
UACCUGGUUGAUCCUGCCAGUAGUGAUAUGCUUGUCUCAAAGAUUAAGCCAUGCAUGUCUGAGUACAGACCGAUCCAAGGUGAAACCGCGAAUGGCUCAUUAAAUCAGUCAUAAUUCCUUGGAUAGUGAAAAACUUCCUCGGAUAACUGUGGAAAAUCCAGAGCUAAUACGUGCAACUGAGCUCCGACCUCGACGCGAGUCUUGGGAAGAGCGCAUUUAUUAGAUUCAAAACUGAUCGACGUACUCCUUCGGGAUGGGUCGUUUUUUUAAAGUUUGAUGACUCCGGAUAACUUAGCCGAGCGCUACGGUCCUAGUACCGGCGCCGUAUCUUUCAAGUGUCUGCCUUAUCAGCUUUCGAUUGUAGGUUAAACGCCUACAAUGGCUGUAACGGGUAACGGGGAAUCAGGGUUCGAUUCCGGAGAGGGAGCCUGAGAAACGGCUACCACAUAUAAGGAAGGCAGCAGGCACGCAAAUUACCCACUCCCAGCGCGGGGAGGUAGUGACGAAAAAUAACGAUGCGAGACUCUUCCGAGGCCUCGCAAUCGGAAUGAGUCCAUUUUAAAUCCUUGGACGAGGAUCCAUUGGAGGGCAAGUCUGGUGCCAGCAGCCGCGGUAAUUCCAGCUCCAAUAGCGUAUAUUAAAGUUGCUGCGGUUAAAAAGCUCGUAGUUGGACUUCCUAGAUCCAUUUCGCGAGCGGGUCGCUCGUUGAACUAGCGUUUCGUGCCAGUUACUGGACUAAGGUCGUGGUGUAGGCCGCGCUGGCGUGCCGUUUCUAUCGUUUCGUUUCGGCGUUUCGGUGUUCGGUAUCGUUAUGCGUUGUUCGCGUUACCUCGUGCCUAAUCUUGCGGACGGCGAGACGUUGUCUUCGAGUAUUGCCCGUUCGCGUUUGGUACAAAUAAAAUUUUGUCGGCUCGCUCGGAGUGCUCUUUACCGAGUGUUCCAGGGUGGCCGACACGUUCACUUUGAAAAAAUUAGAGUGCUUAAAGCGGGGCUUAUACGUGGCCUGAAUGUCUGUGCAUGGAAUGAAGUAACAGGACCUCGAUUCUGUUUUUUUUGUCGGUUUUAUUGAACCGAGGUAAUGAUUAAAAGGGACAGACGGUGGCAUUAGUAUUGCGGCGCUAGAGGUGAGAUUCUUGGACCGCUGCAAGACUAACUACUGCGAAAGCGUUUGCCGAGAAUGUUUUCAUUAAUCAAGAACGAAAGUUAGAGGAUCGAAGGCGAUCAGAUACCGCCCUAGUUCUAACCCUAAACUAUGCUAACUAGCGAUCCGCCGGAGUCAUUCCCACGACCCGGCGGGAAGCCCCAGGGAAACCAAAGUCUUUGAGUUCCGGGGGAAGUAUGGUUGCAAAGCUGAAACUUAAAGGAAUUGACGGAAGGGCACCACCAGGAGUGGAGCCUGCGGCUUAAUUUGACUCAACACGGGAAACCUCACCAGGCCCGGACAUCAUAAGGAUUGACAGGUUGAGGGCUCUUUCUCGAUUUGAUGGGUGGUGGUGCAUGGCCGUUCUUAGUUGGUGGAGUGAUCUGUCUGGUUGAUUCCGAUAACGAACGAGACUCUACCCUACUAACUAGUCGGCGGAUCGUAACCCUGAGAUGGUUAGUUGGUAUAGGUCGGUUUUGCGGAGAUGCGGUCGUUGAGUUUUUGUCGGCGCGACGGGUCGUUUUCUCGGGCGUGCGUGUGUACUCGUACAUUUCGCGCGUUCGGGUUCGGCUUUAGUUUCGUCGGCUGCUUUUCGGUUUAGUGUCGAUGUUUCCGUCUGAUUACCGCUACUGCUGGGGGCGUCCGUCGCAAUAUAUCUUCUUAGAGGGAUCAGCGGCGUAUAGCCGACGAGAAAGAGCAAUAACAGGUCUGUGAUGCCCUUAGAUGUUCUGGGCCGCACGCGCGCUACAAUGUAGAGACCAGCGUGCUUUCCCCCUCCGAAAGGAGCGGGGUAACCCGUUGAAACCCCUACCCGAUUGGGAUUGGGGAUUGCAAAUAUUUCCCAUAAACGAGGAAUUCCCAGUAAGCGCGAAUCAUUAAUUCGCGCUGAUUUACGUCCCUGCCCUUUGUACACACCGCCCGUCGCUACUACCGAUUGAAUGAUUCAGUGAGGGCAUCGGACUGGCGCCUUCGGUUUAGUAACAUAGACCUUAGGCUGACGGAAAGAUGUCCGAACUUGAUCAUUUAGAGGAAGUAAAAGUCGUAACAAGGUUUCCGUAGGUGAACCUGCGGAAGGAUCAUUA